UAUAUGUCUUCGGAUAUAGAGACCGGCGCACGGGUGCGUAACGCGUAUGGCCCAGAUUGCAAUCUACCUUUUACAGAGGGAUAGAUUAAUACCUCAUAGUAUUAUUGAGUGGCAUCACUUAAUAAUUAAAGUCACAACGGUAAAAGAUGAGCAUGCGUCCCAUUAGCUAGUUGGUAAGGUAACGGCUUACCAAGGCAACGAUGGGUAGGGGUCCUGAGAGGGAGAUCCCCCACACUGGUACUGAGACACGGACCAGACUCCUACGGGAGGCAGCAGUGAGGAAUAUUGGACAAUGGGCGCAAGCCUGAUCCAGCCAUGCCGCGUACGGUCCUAUGGUAAACUGCUUUUGUACGAGAAGAAACACUGCUUCGUGAAGCAGCUUGACGGUAUCGUAAGAAUAAGGAUCGGCUAACUCCGUCAGCCGCGGUAAUACGGAGGAUCCAAGCGUUAUCCGGAAUCAUUGGGUUUAGUAGGCGGUUUAGUAAGUCAGUGGUGAAAGCCCAUCGCUCAACGGUGGAACGGCCAUUGAUACUGCUGAACUUGAAUUAUUA
Molecule: ribosomal RNA, 551 nt
Filed under: Flavobacterium sp. SCF14
Lineage: Bacteria; Pseudomonadati; Bacteroidota; Flavobacteriia; Flavobacteriales; Flavobacteriaceae
Description: bacterial SSU rRNA
Rfam family: Bacterial small subunit ribosomal RNA
Source: RNAcentral